This 453-nucleotide ribosomal RNA is filed under the name uncultured bacterium. RNAcentral describes it as "bacterial SSU rRNA". It matches the Rfam family "Bacterial small subunit ribosomal RNA", at positions 340 to 786 of the family's 1533-position model. The record is from RNAcentral.
UACGGAAGGCAGCAGUGGGGAAUAUUGCACAAUGGGCGCAAGCCUGAUGCAGCCAUGCCGCGUGUAUGAAGAAGGCCUUCGGGUUGUAAAGUACUUUCAGUCGUGAGGAAGGUGUUAAGGUUAAUAACCUUAGCAAUUGACGUUAGCGACAGAAGAAGCACCGGCUAACUCCGUGCCAGCAGCCGCGGUAAUACGGAGGGUGCGAGCGUUAAUCGGAAUUACUGGGCGUAAAGGGCACGCAGGCGGUUAAUUAAGUUGGAUGUGAAAUCCCCGGGCUUAACCUGGGAAUGGCAUUCAAGACUGGUUAGCUAGAGUCUUGUAGAGGGGGUAGAAUUCCAUGUGUAGCGGUGAAAUGCGUAGAGAUGUGGAGGAAUACCGGUGGCGAAGGCGGCCCCGUGGACAAAGACUGACGCUCAUGUGCGAAAGCGUGGGGAGCAAACAGGAUUAGAUACC